AGUGACACCUGAAGCCACCUAUCAGGGAGGGGCUGCCCCUUCUUAAGCAUCGAUUGGCUGCGGUAUGUUAUGUGUCAUGUCCGAUGUUCCGCUUGGUGCGUGUUGAUAAUAGCAACGGCGUGUUUCUUGCCCUGUGUGUGUGGUGCCCUGGUUGCGCUGUUUAAGUGGAUAUUACGACUGCUCACCCUCAGUUGCCGGCGGCUGAUAAGGCUGUGCUGAACCCAUGCCUGUAGCAGGUUAUGUUUAUCAUACCAUUGGUUGGAGCUGGGGUCCCAACGGGUGGAUGGAACUUUCCGGUGGUGGUUUUCCUUUUUCAUUGUGUGCUGUUUAACACGAAGUGUGUGAUUUAUUUCAUUUGAGUGCACAGUGGUGUGUGUGUGCGUGCGUGUGUGUCUAUGUGGACCCAAGUCGAGAUUAAGAACCCCCCUAUCCUGUUGGGAACCUCAGCUCUGCUUAAUUUAUUUUUCUUUAACUUUCAGUUUUGUGUGUUUGCAGUGUGGUUGCCGUGAAUUGAAGUAGAGUGAUAACUUAUAUGAUUAACUGCUUAUUUUAAUGAGAUUAAGUAAUAAAACUAUUUUUGUAUUGUA
Non-coding RNA from Misgurnus anguillicaudatus (oriental weatherfish), 587 nucleotides. NCBI's taxonomy places the organism in Eukaryota, Metazoa, Chordata, Actinopteri, Cypriniformes, Cobitidae. The record is from RefSeq and is a predicted model, not a curated record.